GACGAACGCUGGCGGCGUGCUUAACACAUGCAAGUCGAACGGAAAGGCCCUGCUUUUGUGGGGUGCUCGAGUGGCGAACGGGUGAGUAACACGUGAGUAACCUGCCCUUGACUUUGGGAUAACUUCAGGAAACUGGGGCUAAUACCGGAUAGGAGCUCCUGCUGCAUGGUGGGGGUUGGAAAGUUUCGGCGGUUGGGGAUGGACUCGCGGCUUAUCAGCUUGUUGGUGGGGUAGUGGCUUACCAAGGCUUUGACGGGUAGCCGGCCUGAGAGGGUGACCGGCCACAUGGGGAGGGAGCGCGGGACACGCGUGUGGAGGGGGGGAGGGGGGGGGAAGAUUGAGCGCGGGGGGGGAGCCUGAGGAAGGGGGGGGGCGGGGGGAGUGAGGGCUUUGGGGUUUGAAGCCGCUCGCGGGGGUGGGGAGGGGGGGAGGGCGGUAAGGGAAGAGGAAGCGCGGGCAAACGAGGCGCCAGAAGCCGGGGUAAUAAAGGGAGGCGCCAGGUCUGCAC
RNAcentral lists this ribosomal RNA (508 nucleotides) under uncultured bacterium. RNAcentral describes it as "partial 16S ribosomal RNA". The stretch from base 21 to 324 matches the Rfam family "Bacterial small subunit ribosomal RNA", at positions 48 to 357 of the family's 1533-position model. The record is from RNAcentral.